GCAUAUCAAUAAGCGGAGGAAAAGAAACCAACCGGGAUUGCCUUAGUAACGGCGAGUGAAGCGGCAAAAGCUCAAAUUUGAAAUCUGGUACCUUCGGUGCCCGAGUUGUAAUUUGGAGAGGGCAACUUUGGGGCCGUUCCUUGUCUAUGUUCCUUGGAACAGGACGUCAUAGAGGGUGAGAAUCCCGUGUGGCGAGGAGUGCGGUUCUUUGUAAAGUGCCUUCGAAGAGUCGAGUUGUUUGGGAAUGCAGCUCUAAGUGGGUGGUAAAUUCCAUCUAAAGCUAAAUAUUGGCGAGAGACCGAUAGCGAACAAGUACAGUGAUGGAAAGAUGAAAAGAACUUUGAAAAGAGAGUGAAAAAGUACGUGAAAUUGUUGAAAGGGAAGGGCAUUUGAUCAGACAUGGUGUUUUGUGCCCUCUGCUCCUUGUGGGUAGGGGAAUCUCGCAUUUCACUGGGCCAGCAUCAGUUUUGGUGGCAGGAUAAAUCCAUAGGAAUGUAGCUUGCCUCGGUAAGUAUUAUAGCCUGUGGGAAUACUGCCAGCUGGGACUGAGGACUGCGACGUAAGUCAAGGAUGCUGGCAUAAUGGUUAUAUGCCGCCCGUCUUGAACAACCGACCA
RNAcentral lists this ribosomal RNA (616 nucleotides) under Saccharomyces cerevisiae (brewer's yeast). RNAcentral describes it as "eukaryotic LSU rRNA". It matches the Rfam family "Eukaryotic large subunit ribosomal RNA", at positions 38 to 668 of the family's 3401-position model. The record is from RNAcentral. Lineage: Eukaryota; Fungi; Ascomycota; Saccharomycetes; Saccharomycetales; Saccharomycetaceae.